AACUCCAAUCCUUGUCAUGCUAGCUUAGGCUACUAUAAAUACCAGACAUCCAGGCGUAGUAAACACUUUGGCAAUCUUCUCAUCUUCACCGAGACUAGCAAGAAACUAUCAGCUCACUUACUACAAAAAUUGCACACAAAGCUGGCCAAAACCAAUUCGGUUGAGAGCUGGAUUUUUGCUGCACAUCUGGUGGAAUUUUUCUUGCACUUUACUGCUUUUUUUAAGGUACCAUGAGCUAUACACCUAUUUCAUUUAUAAUUCAUUUAGGCAUCUUAUAUAUUUAGAAAAUCAAGUAUUCCUGCUGAAAACAAAAAGAAAUCCUAUUAUAAACAUGCAUAUGAGCAGUUCGUGAUUCUCCAGCUUUGUAGUUCAAUUUCUAUGCCAAAAUAAGAUCGUGUGUCAGAACUGCCUGGAACACUGGGCAGUUCUGACAGGUACUUUGACACCCACUUUUCGUUUGGUUCUGAGUUGAUCCAAGUCUUGGCCAAAACAUAAAAGUUUUAGCCUUAUGUCUUAGCUUUCCAAUGCCUUUGGAAUUUCUUGAUUUCGGUCUGUGAGUUGUGAGUUAUGGUUCUUCCACUAGACCCUGUCUGUCAUCUAAACGUGCGAACUCCUGGCACGUUGUUUCAUACUUAUGACCUGAUUCCGUUCAGAACUGGAUUGAAGUGUCUUCAUGAAAGUUAUAGCUUUUCUCCUUAGCUUCGCAACGGUAUCUCAUACACCUCGAUCCGACAAUCGUAACCUACAUUGUGUUCAAAACAGUUCUUGACGCCAAAACGGACAAGUUUCCGUUUCCAUUUCCGUUUCCGUUUUCCAUUUCCGCGCGCGUAUGGGUCGCAUUUGCUGUUUUCCUUAUUCGUAUGCAUUUGGAUACCUGUUUGAGCAAUGUUAUGACUCGACCUUCUGUCACAGACGGUAACGAAAUGCUCGGAGACGGUGGGACCCACUGACGGUUGAGUUUGACCAAGUGCCGUUUUUGUCUACUUUUGUACUCUAAGUAAGUAACUGGGACGUUUAUGUGUUAAAUGUCACCAAUAUGAAUUGUGUGUGAUAUAAGGGUGCUUAAGCGAGCGUGUACUUUAUCUCACUCGACCUAAACCCUAAUUUGUAUUUGCAAUAGAUAUGAAUUAUGAUAUAUGAACUGUGUUGGGACUGAAUCCCUGAAGCAUGUGGCUUGGGAUGACCUUUUGUGUGUGUGUGAUGUGGAACUAUGAGUGGGCCCGAUCUAAAGGCUAGACGGACUAUUCGAGCCAGUUAGGGCUUGGUCGAAAUUAGUCCAAACUAUCCUUAAGAUCACCAAUUUUGUGAAUGCAAUUCGAAUACGAUUCGAAGCUCGAGCCAUUUGUGUGUGUAUGGAUACUGGCCAGAGUGGGCGUAAGGUGGUCGGAGGAAGAAAGCGGAGUUCUACGGACCAUUCCUUGUGGUCGACGGAGGGUCGACAGGUGGUCACGCGUGGCGAAUGACUUGGCUUUGGAGCCAAUCCGUAUCCUUGAAUUGUUUUGUUACUUUGCUUUGAUUUUGAUGUAUUUGUGGCAUAAAUAUCUGACUUGAUGCAAAAUUACCAUUUUGCCCCUACUUGCUUACUAAGCUUUAAGCUUACCGUUUUUCUUUGUUAUUUCCUUAACAGGGGUCGUGCGGGGAUCACACUUCACGAGAGUUAUAACCCUAGAAUUUACCUUUGAAAUUAUACUAGUUGGACUUUCUAGGAUGUUUUUCUCACAGUUAGAGUUAGGACUCUGUGUAAGAUCCACUUUGUGGUUUUAGUCUUCGCUUUUGUGUGAUGUAGUGGACUGGAAUAUUCCUUUUGAAGAUGUAUAUAUUGUAAAUGGUACUUUUGGGGAUGUAUAAAUGUGAAUAGUAUCUUUUGGUAUUAUGAUUCUUUUAUUGGACAAAUUUAUGUUUUACACUGGUUGGAGAUGUACUUAGAGUAAAUGUUCAGUUGUCCAAUAGUGAUGUUAUCUCUGAAAUUAAUGUAAGUGAGUGAGUCCUGGCGCGAGCUAGGCAGGCGGUUCGCCAAACCCUUUGGUACGCCUCUGGGUGCGGUGGGGUCGUCACACAUACAUUAAGUACUCCAAAGGUUGUCAGAUCAUUAGAUCCUAAUAAGCAUCCUUUUAGACCGCGAGAGGAAAAUGAAGAGAUACUUGUUCCUGAAGUACCAUAUCUCAGUGCAACUGGCGAAAAAUAUUGGAAUGCGACGAUUAAAAGAUCUCAAAUGAUAUUUGCAUCAGGGGGAGAAAUUAGUAUACAGGAAUAGUGUACUCUUUUUCCUUCACUAGGGUUUUUGUCCCGAUGGGUUUUUCCUUAGUAAGGUUUUAAUGAGGCAUAUUCUUUGUGUAAUGGACAUUCAAGGGGGAGUGUUAUGAAACAACUAAAAUGUGGAUGUCCCUUUGUAUUCCCAAGAGGAUUAAUUCAUGAUUUAUGGCUACAUUAUGUAUAGAAGUUACAAUUCAUAAAUCUAUUCAUGUAAUGGAGAAAUCGUUUUAUAGGUUUCUUCAUAUUCUUGUAGUAGUGGGUGUUUAAUAGGAUUAAUGUACCUUUAAUCUUAUAGUACCUAUAUAUAGAGGUACAUUGACACCCUUUGUGAGGACUUUUGUAUUAGUUGGAAUAAUAAGAUAAUC
RNAcentral lists this long non-coding RNA (2618 nucleotides) under Coffea arabica (coffee). RNAcentral describes it as "long non-coding RNA (CARA_LNC000158)". The record is from RNAcentral. Lineage: Eukaryota; Viridiplantae; Streptophyta; Magnoliopsida; Gentianales; Rubiaceae.